GACGAACGCUGGCGGCGUGCUUAACACAUGCAAGUCGAGCGGAGAGGGGCUGCUUUUGUGGGGUGCCCGAGUGGCGAACGGGUGAGUAACAAAUGAGUAAGCUGCCCUUGACGUUGGGAUAACUUCAGGCAACUGGGGCUAAUACAGACUAGGAGCUCCUGCUGCAUGGUGGGGGUGGGAAGGUUUCGGCGGUGGGGGAUGGAGUCGCGGCUUAUCAGCUUGUUGGUGGGGUAGUGGCUUAGCAAGGCAUUGACGGGUAGCCGGCCUGAGAGGGUGACAGGCCUCAAUCGGACUGCGAUAGGACCCAGACUCGUACGUUAGGCAGUAGUGGGGAAUAUGGUCCAGCGGGGCCGAGCCUGAUGCGAUGGCGCCGCGUGCGUGAUGAAGGUCUUCGGGUUGUGAACCGCUUUCGCCUGUUACGAAGCUGGUUUGACGGUAACGGGUGAAGAAGCACCGGCUAACUACGUG
This 468-nucleotide ribosomal RNA is filed under the name uncultured bacterium. RNAcentral describes it as "partial 16S ribosomal RNA". It matches the Rfam family "Bacterial small subunit ribosomal RNA", at positions 28 to 507 of the family's 1533-position model. The record is from RNAcentral.